GAUGAGAUGGAGGAAACACAAGCAAAAUUGAGGCACGCCACCAGGAUCCACCCCAACAGUCCUGCCCUUGCAAUACGAAGCCACAACUACAAGGAUGCUUCGCCACUCUCCGGCCGGCCUCCACUAGACCACCCCUCCCCUCGCCGUCGCCGGAGGAGGCCGCCGGGCGAAGCCCCGCGGCGGACGGCGGCGGCGAGGUUGCGUGCAGCCUCCUCUCCAGCCUGCUGCGUUCUCUCCUUCUCCCUCAGAUCCAAAAUCCCCCCACGCCUCCUGCUUCCAUGCUUGCUUGGCUACGGCUGCCGGCCAUCUAAAUGCAUCGGCUGCCCCUGCUCUGGCCCCAUGGCUGCCGGAUGUGGCUGCUGGUCCUUGUGGACGGGGCGCUGACGGUAAAAUUUCGAGCUGACGGCUUGUGUGGACGACUGCUCGGCGCGGCGCUGUGGGGGCGCGGCUGGGUGGCCGGCGGUGGCCGUCGCGGUGGGCCUGCGGGUUCGAUGGCGGGGGGUUGCGGGCACGGGCGUGCUGGCGCGGGGCGUCCUCGUCCUGGGUGCGCGUGGCCCUGGGCGUGUGGCGCGGUCGUGGUGGCGCCUGGUGCUGGUGCGGGCGGCCACGGACGCGCGUCGAGUCAGGGGAGCUGCGGGCGAGGUGGAUCCAGAGCGGCCGGCGCGCCGGCUCCAGAUCUGGCAGUGGUCGGAGCUUGCCGAGAUCCCCGUCCCCGAUCUGGCGAUCUUCGAGGCGGUCGGUCAUGGGAUGGUGCUCGGCGGCUUGGUUGGCGCUGCCGGCAGUGUUGGUGAAUGCGUGGCUUGCUUCUGGCUCGGGGCAUGCCGGUCGUGAUGGCGGGUGGCCUGGCGAUGAUCUCGGGCUGGAUCUGAACUGCAGUGGUCGAAUCGGGUCCUAUACGGUGGUGCUCUGGGAGAAAUCCCUGCUCACCCAUUGUGUGAGCCGACCACUAUGGCGCCUCCCCGGCGUCGUAUACCUUCCUAGAGGCGUGGUCUUCGAGCUGUUCCGUGUGGAUCUGCUUCGGCGUCGUUCAGGCCGUCUUGCUGUAGGGAUAUGCUCAAACUCCGGGUGAGAACCUUUCAUCGACUAUGUCGAUGUCGGCGGCAGCGGCGUCUAUGGACGUCGUCUUCCUCGCAGGAGGUGCCGCUGUGGAGCUCCAGCACCUAUGGUAUUUUGAUUUGUGGUCUCCGGGUGAAAACCCAAGAUCGGGCUUGCCGGAUCGGAUGAUGGUGUUGUGUCUUCGACAGCACUACCUCCUUGGAGGCGUCAUCUUGGAGGCCCAAACCAUGGCCCCUGUUGCUGUUGUGUGGUUCAGGCUGGUGCGUUUGGUGGUGGUGAUGCGGCCAGCUUGGGGCCGACGGUGGUGUAUUUCUUUUUCAGGUGUUUCUCUUGGCUGUCCUUCGUGUGGUCUCCGUCUUGUUGCUGUGCAUGCUCAAGACCCUCCCAUGGUUGCCGUUGUGCUGCGGUGAGCUCUGGGCUCUUGGUGUUGUCUUGGUUCACCUUUGCUCAAUGACGACGCAAUGAUGCCUCCCCAACCUGCUAAUCGUUCUGACCGCCCGUGGCGGAUCUUCCAGUCAAGGUUCGUGUUAUGGUUUGGCACUCGUUGAUUGUGGUUGAUCCUCUGUUGUGCCGUGGGGCUCGGUACGCACGCCGGUGCGGUGCGUUAGGUUGUUUGCAGAGUCUUGGUAUUGUGAUCCCUCGACAGAACCCCACAUCUACUUGUGUCUCUCGUGGUGUUGGUCUUUCUGCCUGCUAGCUAGGUCAUGCCCUCUCCUGGGUGGCACUUUUUUCUCAUCUUCUGUAACCUUGUUACCUGUAUGGUUUUCGGCCCGGUUUUCCUCAUAAAUGGGGUCAACUUGUUUAGAUUUUUGAUCCGGUUUUCCUUAUAAACUGGAUCAGCCAAAGCUUAAGGGGUCACUCUUGGCUUUGGCAACUUUUUGAGCAAUAUAUUCAGGUGGGGAUCCUCUCCCCCCCGGUGACCGUUCAAAAAAAAACUACAAGGAUGCUUCUUGAGGCACAAGACCAAGAACAGAUGCUACCGAGCCAGACGAUGGUGGUGCGCGCAAGAUAACUCGUAUCACCAGAGAGGAGGGGGGCAGCGAGCAUUGCUUAAAUCAUGGUGUGCCACUAGGAGGCAUACCAAGCUCCUGGAAGACAAGGACGAUGGGUCUCCACCUCGACCUUCCAAUACCCCUUCCUUUACUUUGUGGAGGGUCCUCGUGGAGUGGUUGGCCUCAGGGAUAAUGCCGAGAACAUCUUAUUGGACGAGACAAAAGAUGUGUGCAGUGGGUAUGAGAGUGGAGAAGUUGUACCAGAGGGACCCGGCCAACAAUGAUCGUCUCAUAGUGGUGUAUCCAGUUAAGAUGCAUAAAAUUCAAGAAUGUGAGAAAAGAACAGAGCAAAUUUCUAAGCCCAAUAGAUUUUUGUGUAGAAAGAUGCUUUUGCAUCCACAUAUUAUUGCAACUCUUCGUUUCAGCCCGGGCAACGAUGAACUAGGUCGUAGUCGUGUAGCCCGGACACAAGCAAAGCAACAUCUGUUCAAGCUUAUCUUUUCAGAACCGCAAUAUAUUCUUCCAGACUUUCCUCCG
Molecule: ribosomal RNA, 2585 nt
Filed under: Triticum aestivum (bread wheat)
Lineage: Eukaryota; Viridiplantae; Streptophyta; Magnoliopsida; Poales; Poaceae
Description: partial small subunit ribosomal RNA
Source: RNAcentral